Molecule: ribosomal RNA, 492 nt
Filed under: uncultured bacterium
Lineage: Bacteria
Description: partial 16S ribosomal RNA
Rfam family: Bacterial small subunit ribosomal RNA
Source: RNAcentral
AGUGAACGCUGGCGGUAGGCCUAACACAUGCAAGUCGAACGGCAGCACAGUAAGAGCUUGCUCUUACGGGUGGCGAGUGGCGGACGGGUGAGGAAUACAUCGGAAUCUACUUUUUCGUGGGGGAUAACGUAGGGAAUCUUACGCUAAUACCGCAUACGACCUACGGGUGAAAGCAGGGGAUCUUCGGACCUUGCGCGAUUGAAUGAGCCGAUGUCGGAUUAGCUAGUUGGCGGGGUAAAGGCCCACCAAGGCGACGAUCCGUAGCUGGUCUGAGAGGAUGAUCAGCCACACUGGAACUGAGACACGGUCCAGACUCCUACGGGAGGCAGCAGUGGGGAAUAUUGGACAAUGGGCGCAAGCCUGAUCCAGCCAUACCGCGUGGGCGAAGAAGGCCUUCGGGUUGUAAAGCCCUUUUGUUGGGAAAGAAAAGCAGCAGGUUAAUACCCCGCUGUUCUGACGGUACCCAAAGAAUAAGCACCGGCUAACUUCGUG